RNAcentral lists this ribosomal RNA (253 nucleotides) under uncultured Lactobacillus sp. RNAcentral's name for it is "partial 16S ribosomal RNA". It matches the Rfam family "Bacterial small subunit ribosomal RNA", at positions 524 to 776 of the family's 1533-position model. The record is from RNAcentral. Lineage: Bacteria; Bacillati; Bacillota; Bacilli; Lactobacillales; Lactobacillaceae.
UACGUAGGUGGCAAGCGUUAUCCGGAUUUAUUGGGCGUAAAGCGAGCGCAGGCGGUUGCUUAGGUCUGAUGUGAAAGCCUUCGGCUUAACCGAAGAAGUGCAUCGGAAACCGGGCGACUUGAGUGCAGGAGAGGCAAGUGGAAUUCCUAGUGUAGCGGUGAAAUGCGUAGAUAUUAGGAGGAACACCAGUGGCGAAGGCGGCUCUCUGGUCUGCAACUGACGCUGAGGCUCGAAAGCAUGGGUAGCGAACAGG